RNAcentral lists this ribosomal RNA (484 nucleotides) under uncultured bacterium. Its description in RNAcentral is "partial 16S ribosomal RNA". It matches the Rfam family "Bacterial small subunit ribosomal RNA", at positions 30 to 507 of the family's 1533-position model. The record is from RNAcentral.
AUUGAACGCUGGCGGCAGGCCUAACACAUGCAAGUCGAGCGGAUGAAGGGAGCUUGCUCCUGGAUGCAGCGGCGGACGGGUGAGUAAUGCCUAGGAAGCUGCCUGGUAGUGGGGGAUAACGUCCGGAAACGGGCGCGAAUACCGCAUACGUCCUGAUGGAGAAAGGGGGGGAUCUUCGGACCUCACGCUAUCAGAUGAGCCUAGGUCGGAUUAGCUAGUUGGUGGGGUAAAGGCCUACCAAGGCGACGAUCCGUAACUGGUCUGAGAGGAUGAUCAGCCACACUGGAACUGAGACACGGUCCAGACUCCUACGGGAGGCAGCAGUGGGGAAUAUUCCACAAUGGGCGAAAGCCUGAUCCAGCCAUGCCGCGUGUGUGAAGAAGGUCUUCGGAUUGUAAAGCACUUUAAGUUGGGAGGAACAGCAGUAAGUUAAUCCCUUGCUGUUUUGACGUUACCAACAGAAUAAGCACCGGCUAACUUCGUG